RNAcentral lists this transfer RNA (74 nucleotides) under Alphaproteobacteria bacterium. RNAcentral describes it as "tRNA-Gln". It matches the Rfam family "tRNA". From Rfam's summary of the family: Transfer RNA (tRNA) molecules are approximately 80 nucleotides in length. Their secondary structure includes four short double-helical elements and three loops (D, anti-codon, and T loops). Further hydrogen bonds mediate the characteristic L-shaped molecular structure. tRNAs have two regions of fundamental functional importance: the anti-codon, which is responsible for specific mRNA codon recognition, and the 3' end, to which the tRNAs corresponding amino acid is attached (by aminoacyl-tRNA synthetases). tRNAs cope with the degeneracy of the genetic code in two manners: having more than one tRNA (with a specific anti-codon) for a particular amino acid; and 'wobble' base-pairing, i.e. permitting non-standard base-pairing at the 3rd anti-codon position. The record is from RNAcentral. Lineage: Bacteria; Pseudomonadati; Pseudomonadota; Alphaproteobacteria. RNAcentral also lists the same sequence under 5 other names.
UGGGGGAUCGUCUAACGGUAGGACAGCGGACUCUGACUCCGCGAGUCUAGGUUCGAAUCCUAGUCCCCCAGCCA